RNAcentral lists this ribosomal RNA (495 nucleotides) under uncultured bacterium. RNAcentral's name for it is "partial 16S ribosomal RNA". It matches the Rfam family "Bacterial small subunit ribosomal RNA", at positions 28 to 507 of the family's 1533-position model. The record is from RNAcentral.
GACGAACGCUGGCGGCGUGCCUAAUACAUGCAAGUAGAACGCUGAAGGAGGAGCUUGCUUCUCUGGAUGAGUUGCGAACGGGUGAGUAACGCGUAGGUAACCUGCCUGGUAGCGGGGGAUAACUAUUGGAAACGAUAGCUAAUACCGCAUAAUAGUAGAUGUCGCAUGACAUUUGCUUAAAAGGUGCAAUUGCAUCACUACCAGAUGGACCUGCGUUGUAUUAGCUAGUUGGUGAGGUAACGGCUCACCAAGGCAACGAUACAUAGCCGACCUGAGAGGGGGAUCGGCCACACUGGGACUGAGACACGGCCCAGACUCCUACGGGAGGCAGCAGUAGGGAAGCUUCGGCAAUGGACGGAAGUCUGACCGAGCAACGCCGCGGGAGUGAAGAAGGUUUUCGGAUCGUAAAGCUCUGUUGUAAGAGAAGAACGAGUGUGAGAGUGGAAAGUUCACACUGUGACGGUAUCUUACCAGAAAGGGACGGCUAACUACGUG